RNAcentral lists this ribosomal RNA (253 nucleotides) under uncultured bacterium. RNAcentral describes it as "partial 16S ribosomal RNA". It matches the Rfam family "Bacterial small subunit ribosomal RNA", at positions 524 to 776 of the family's 1533-position model. The record is from RNAcentral.
UACAGAGGGGGCAAGCGUUGUUCGGAAUUACUGGGCGUAAAGGGCGCGUAGGCGGCCGGUUAAGUCGAACGUGAAAUCCCCGGGCUCAACCCGGGAACUGCGUCCGAUACUGGCAGGCUUGAAUCCGGGAGAGGGAUGCGGAAUUCCGAGUGUAGAGGUGAAAUUCGUAGAUAUUCGGAAGAACACCAGUGGCGAAGGCGGCUCACUGGCCCGGUACUGACGCUGAGGUGCGAAAGCGUGGGGAGCAAACAGG